RNAcentral lists this ribosomal RNA (438 nucleotides) under uncultured Aeromonas sp. RNAcentral describes it as "bacterial SSU rRNA". It matches the Rfam family "Bacterial small subunit ribosomal RNA", at positions 79 to 513 of the family's 1533-position model. Lineage: Bacteria; Pseudomonadati; Pseudomonadota; Gammaproteobacteria; Aeromonadales; Aeromonadaceae. The record is from RNAcentral.
CUACUUUUGCCGGCGAGCGGCGGACGGGUGAGUAAUGCCUGGGAAAUUGCCCAGUCGAGGGGGAUAACAGUUGGAAACGACUGCUAAUACCGCAUACGCCCUACGGGGGAAAGCAGGGGACCUUCGGGCCUUGCGCGAUUGGAUAUGCCCAGGUGGGAUUAGCUAGUUGGUGAGGUAAUGGCUCACCAAGGCGACGAUCCCUAGCUGGUCUGAGAGGAUGAUCAGCCACACUGGAACUGAGACACGGUCCAGACUCCUACGGGAGGCAGCAGUGGGGAAUAUUGCACAAUGGGGGAAACCCUGAUGCAGCCAUGCCGCGUGUGUGAAGAAGGCCUUCGGGUUGUAAAGCACUUUCAGCGAGGAGGAAAGGUCAGUAGCUAAUAUCUGCUGACUGUGACGUUACUCGCAGAAGAAGCACCGGCUAACUCCGUGCCAGCA